UGAGGAAUAUUGGGCAAUGCCCGCAAGGGUGACCCAGCAACGCCGCGUGGAGGAUGAAUGUCGUAAGAUUGUAAAUUCCUGUUAGAGGGGAAGAAUAGUACCGGUUGGACCGGUAUAUGACUGUACCCUCAGAGAAAGCCCCGGCUAACUACGUGCCAGCAGCCGCGGUAAUACGUAGGGGGCAAGCGUUGUCCGGAUUUACUGGGUGUAAAGGGCGCGCAGGCGGGAUAAAAAGUCAGUGGUGAAAUCCUACAGCUUAACUGUAGAACUGCCUUUGAUACUUUUAUUCUUGAGUUCGGGAGAGAGAGACGGAAUUCCAGGUGUAGUGGUGAAAUACGUAGAUAUCUGGAAGAACACCAGUUGCGAAGGCGGUCUCUUGGUCCGACACUGACGCUGAGGCGCGAAAGCGUGGGGAGCAAACA
This 422-nucleotide ribosomal RNA is filed under the name uncultured bacterium. RNAcentral's name for it is "bacterial SSU rRNA". It matches the Rfam family "Bacterial small subunit ribosomal RNA", at positions 355 to 774 of the family's 1533-position model. The record is from RNAcentral.